This 388-nucleotide ribosomal RNA is filed under the name uncultured bacterium. RNAcentral's name for it is "bacterial SSU rRNA". It matches the Rfam family "Bacterial small subunit ribosomal RNA", at positions 28 to 417 of the family's 1533-position model. The record is from RNAcentral.
GACGAACGCUGGCGGCGUGCUUAACACAUGCAAGUCGAGCGGUAAGGCCCUUUCGGGGGUACACGAGCGGCGAACGGGUGAGUAACACGUGGGUGACCUGCCCUUAGCUCUGGGAUAAGCCUGGGAAACUGGGUCUAAUACCGGAUAUGACUCCAUGACGCAUGUUGUGGGGUGGAAAGCCUUGUGCGGCUAGGGGAUGGGCCCGCGGCCUAUCAGCUUGUUGGUGGGGUGANGGCCUACCAAGGCGACGACGGGUAGCCGGCCUGAGAGGGCGACCGGCCACACUGGGACUGAGACACGGCCCAGACUCCUACGGGAGGCAGCAGUGGGGAAUCUCGCGCAAUGGGCGAAAGCCUGACGCAGCGACGCCGCGUGGGGAUGACGGCCU